GUCCACGCCCUAAACGAUGUCAACUGGUUGUUGGGUCUUCACUGACUCAGUAACGAAGCUAACGCGUGAAGUUGACCGCCUGGGGAGUACGGCCGCAAGGUUGAAACUCAAAAGGAAUUGACGGGGACCCGCACAAGCGGUGGAUGAUGUGGUUUAAUUCGAUGCAACGCGAAAAAACCUUACCCACCUUUGACAUGUACGGAAUUUUCCAGAGAUGGAAUUAAGUGCUCGAAAAGAGAAACCGUAAACAACAGGUGCUGCAUGGCUGUCGU
RNAcentral lists this ribosomal RNA (272 nucleotides) under uncultured bacterium. RNAcentral's name for it is "partial 16S ribosomal RNA". It matches the Rfam family "Bacterial small subunit ribosomal RNA", at positions 793 to 1055 of the family's 1533-position model. The record is from RNAcentral.